RNAcentral lists this ribosomal RNA (1240 nucleotides) under metagenome. RNAcentral describes it as "bacterial LSU rRNA". It matches the Rfam family "Bacterial large subunit ribosomal RNA", at positions 1564 to 2815 of the family's 2925-position model. The record is from RNAcentral.
UGAAUACGAGACGCUACGGCGUCGAAGCAGUCUAUGUCAUACUUCCAAGAAAAGCUUGCACUGUCAUAAACAAAUAAUGCCUGUACCAUAACCGACACAGGUGGGUAGGUAGAGUAUACUAAGGGGCGCGAGAUAACUCUCUCUAAGGAACUCGGCAAAAUGACUCCGUAACUUCGGGAGAAGGAGUGCCUUAUUAUAAGGUUGCAAUAACAAGAUCCAAGCAACUGUUUAUCAAAAACACAGGUCUCCGCUAAGUCGUAAGACGAUGUAUGGGGGCUGACGCCUGCCCAGUGCCAGAAGGUUAAAGAAGUUGGUUAGCAUUAGCGAAGCUGAUAACUGAAGCCCUGGUGAACGGCGGCCGUAACUAUAACGGUCCUAAGGUAGCGAAAUUCCUUGUCGGGUAAGUUCCGACCCGCACGAAAGGCGUAAUGAUUUGGAUACUGUCUCGGAGAGGGGCUCGGUGAAAUAGACUUGUCUGUGAAGAUGCGGACUACCUGCACCUGGACAGAAAGACCCUAUGAAGCUUUACUGUAACCUGAAAUUGAAAUUGGACUUUAUUUGCGCAGUAUAGGUGGGAGGCGUUGAGAAUAUUCUUGCGGGAAUAUUGGAGCCAUCAGUGAGAUACCACUCUUGUAAUGUUAGAUUUCUAACUUUGAAUCAUUAUCUGGUCAAAGAACAGUUUCAGGCGGGCAGUUUGACUGGGGCGGUCGCCUCCUAAAUGGUAACGGAGGCGCACAAAGGUUUCCUCUGAACGGGUAGAAAUCGUAUCUAGAGUGUAAAGGCAUAAGGAAGCUUGACUGUGAGACCUACAAGUCGAGCAGGGACGAAAGUCGGUCUUAGUGAUCUGACGGUGCUGAGUGGAAAGGCCGUCACUCAACGGAUAAAAGUUACUCUAGGAUAACAGGCUGAUCUCCCCCAAGAGUUCACAUCGACGGGGAGGUUUGGCACCUCGAUGUCGGCUCAUCGCAUCCUGGGGCGGUAGUACGUCCCAAGGGUUGGGCUGUUCGCCCAUGAAAGCGGUACGAGAGCUGGGUUCAAAACGUCGUGAGACAGUUCGGUCCAUAUCCGGUGUAGGCGUUAGAAUAUUGAGAGGAGCCUUCUUUAGUACGAGAGGACCGAGAAGGACAUACCUCUGGUGUACCAGUUAUCGUGCCAACGGUAAACGCUGGGUAGCUAUGUAUGGAGAGGAUAACCGCUGAAAGCAUCUAAGUGGGAAGCCCACCUCAAGAUAAGUAUUCCC